This is a long non-coding RNA of Helianthus annuus (common sunflower), 2184 nucleotides long. RefSeq lists it as uncharacterized. The record is from RefSeq and is a predicted model, not a curated record. The transcript has 3 exons. Lineage: Eukaryota; Viridiplantae; Streptophyta; Magnoliopsida; Asterales; Asteraceae.
UUUCAAAAAAAAAAAAGGCUUAUGUGUUCUGCUUGUCUACACAUCUACCAUCUUCCCCAAAUAAAACCCUUAAUUCAUAAAAAUUAUCCGGUGUAUUCAUGUGUCCGAGCGUUCUCUCCAAGUUGUCACCACCGCUGCUGAUUGUUUCUGUCGUUCCUCGCCCACUGACAUCCGCCACCACCAACGCCACGUACAGUGGUCAUGGACACCAAAAUCACCCACGCCGGGUUCAUCAUCACAGCUAUUGUUGAAUGAUGGUUAAGAUGGGUUAUGUUGGUGAUCACCCGGUCAUGAAGAAAUCGUCGGUACGAAAGCAGUUGAGGUGAAGAUAGACGGUGAUGAUUGGGUUUUCAAUAAAAGGAUGACAGGGUUUUCGAUUUGUUACUACUAACAGUCCACCGAUAAUCCGGUGAUGAGGGGCAAGCUACUUUAUAUGCUAUCAAAAAACUGAAAAGAGUGAAUUCAGUGACAAUAAGGAGCCUUCUUUUGCUUUCUUGAAUUCUCUGCUCCUUGGAGAGUGGGAGGAUCGCCUGAAGAGAGGGCGAUUUCACUCGCUAUGAUGUUACUGCCCACGAAAGUAAGGUAUAUAUAUCAAUUUAAUGUCUUUGUUUUAAAAAGUUGCGCCUGAGGCAUGAGGCACUCGCAACGGUAUGGAAAACACAGCAGGGUCUUGAGGUAGUGUCUCAUGCGUACCUGCGUACCUGGGUCAAAAUUAGUCGUAAAGUAACACCUUAAUUGCGUUUUUGAUGUAUGUUAGUGUCAAUAUAGGAGACUAUAGUUCAAUGAACAGUAAUCGGGUGCUCACGAGGGCCCGUCCGUGGUUUGGAUAUGAAUAAAUAUGGAGUAUCCCAAAUGUCCUUUUCUUACGGCACCUCUCAUAUACUCAUGAGUCAUGAAUAUGCUUCGUGUUCCAUAUAAAAUAACUUAAAGAAAGUAAAGAUAUCUGAUUCUGUGAGUCAAUAUACUUUUUGCCAAUUGUUGACCCAUUCCCUUCUUUUACAUUUUCCAAAUGUGUAUAGAAACAGGAUUAUAAAAAAAAACUAGAAUAACUAUGUAAAUGUAUACAAUUAUAAUAAUUAGUCAAUAAUUGUGAGUAUCACGACUAUUAACUAUUUUCAAAUAUGAUUGUAAUUAUAAUCGUCUAUAUAUCAUGGAACUAAUAUACUUUCUAGAAAAAUUAAUACAUACCAAAGUUACAAUUCCAUAAUAACCAAGAAAUGGUGCCCUACUCCAUAAUAGAGGUGCUUUGAUAUAUUUAAUUUAUCAUACCUUUGUUAUCUUCUAUAUUUUGAACUUCUUUUCCUCUUUUGUGUGUUUGUUAUUCUGUAAAUAUUCAAACUCGCACAACACACAGCGAAGCUGGCUGUAGAAAAGAGUGACAGAGAGGUCAAAGAGGGCAGAAGAUGGAGAGAGAAUGAGAGAAUUACAAGCUGGAUUGCGGGGGUGCAUAUCUGAUCCUAAACAACUUUCAAGAGACAUUACGGAGGCGUAAGACAAAGGCCAUGGGGAAAUGGGCAUCCGAGAUAUGCACUCCUAACAAAGGCGCCAGUGUUUGGUUGUGUACAUUUGAAACAACCGAGGCUGCAACCGCAGCUUACGAUCAAGCUGCACUUGAGUUCAAAGAGGCGAAGGCAAAGCUCAACUUCCCAGAGCUUCGAGCUUCGUGACAUAACCACCAACAUCACCACCACCGCGACACAAGUACACAACCACCCGCUGCCACCUCAUCACAGCCUCCAAAUCCUAGAAUUUAAGUGAAUGUGUUCAAAUUUUGGCUGUACAAUGUGUUCAAGAUAAAAUACAUAGCCACUGUGGUUUUGUUCCAAACUUGAUACCCUUGCUUUUAUUUGUAUGCAUAUUAGUGAUAUGUUGUUUUGCCAACAUAUUGCAUUUGCUAAUUGGUAAAUCCUAUAAUAAUUUGUUAUUUAUCGUCCUUGAAAUUAGUGAUUUCGCAUUGAAUUCAGGUAAGGAGAGGUGCAGAUAGAGUAGAUAUCUACAUCCCUGCUUACUCUACUAUGGCUGAAAGGUUGGCUGUUUCAAGUGACAAAGGUUGAUUUUGGCCCAUUGCAAACUACAUCAGACCAAAAUAGUGGAUACCAAAGGUAUAUGUAUUCUGAAUUUAAUAUGUUGGUGAUCGUGCAUUUACUUUCAACUUUGAUCCUUUAUAGUUUUCAUUUUCCGCAA